CAAACACAUAAUCUGGCUCUGAGUCCUCCUCCACAUUCUAGAAGGCAAACAGUCAUGUCCUAUGUAGCAUAUUGAAAUGUAAUACAGAUUAAAAUCUAAACGCCAUCCAUCACACACACUUCACCUAUAUGACAUAAACAGUGUAACCAUUUAAUGGGGAAUUAAUUUACUAAAAUACAGCAGUGUGGGGAUUGUUGCCUACUAGUGGCUUAUAUGGAAAGUCUCUGAUCGGGGUCCAAGCAGAUGCUGCAGAGAGUAUAGUUUUACCCCUCAAGGACAGAGGCAAUUGUACAAGUUCUGACCAAAACAAAACCUAGAAUUUGAGCUAUAUUAUUGUUCAACCAUAAUUUACCUCUUUCAUAAGUGCACCCAUACUUGUUACAUAUCAUUUUGAUCAGGUGAAAUUGGGCUUUCCUUCCACAUCAAAUAAUGGAAAUGUGGUACGUAAUGUGAAAAAAAUCUAAAUAAG
This is a non-coding RNA of Pelobates cultripes (western spadefoot toad), 469 nucleotides long. Lineage: Eukaryota; Metazoa; Chordata; Amphibia; Anura; Pelobatidae. The record is from the annotation of a GenBank genome assembly.